UCUCCUCUUCUCAUCUUCUCUCCUCUAUUCUCCACUUCUCAUCUUCUCUCCUCUAUUCUACACUUCUCAUCUUCUCUCCUCUAUUCUCCACUUCUCAUCUUCUCUCCUCUAUUCUCCACUUCUCAUCUUCUCUCCUCUAUUCUCCACUUCUCAUCUCUUCUCCUCUUUUUCUCACUUCUCUCCUCUUCUCCUCACUUCUCCUCUCCCAGUGCUCCUCUCUCUCAUGCCCUCUCUCUGUACUGACGUACCUAUCGUUCACUACAUCUUGCAACACAUUGCAUUACUUUGAAUUAAAUCACUUUCUUUCAUGUGAGCUCCGUAGAGGCUCCUCUGAUCUUCAAGGCCCUGUACUGCCAUACCAUAAUGUACACUACACGGCGUUGCAUGGCAACACGUUGCAUUAGGUUGUGUUUAGAGCCCUGUCACUGAACUGCUUCACAAUUCCAUCCUGGGCAUGAUACUACAAUGUAUUUCUUUCUGCUGUAAGUUGCCUCCUCACACAUCAGCACAGUGGAGGCUGAUGAAUCUACACAGAGUCUGUGAGGACUGGAAAUGUAUUUGACGAUCUCCUGAAGUCUGGUUAACCUUCUCUCCGUGUAGUUCCCCAUUGUCCCACUGUAUACGUUGUGCACUGAAUGGCACUGAACACUGUGUGUGUGUGUGUGUGUGUGUGUGUGUGUGUGUGUGUGUGUGUGUGUGUGUGUGUGUGUGUGUGUGUGUGUGUGUGUGUGUGUGUGUGUGUGUGUGUGUGUGUGUGUGUGUGUGUGUGUGUGUGUGUGUGUGUGUACUUGUGUUUGCAUUUUGUGGGCAUGCUUAUUUAUAGAUAUGUUCAUGUUUGAUUUUCUGGUGCUGAAGGCUCCCUCAUCUGUAUGUAUAUUCCAGUGACAACGUGCAGCUCACACACACACACACACACACACACACACACACACACACACACACACACACACACAUAACACACGUUUCAAUGAUGUUUGAACCCCAGGUUUUAUUCAUUCUACAAACCCCUGGUGACUUUAACCUUUCUUCAGUUUCCUCUCCCUGGUUUCCCCACGCAAAGUUUGGACACACCUACUCAUUCCAGAGGGGAGGAACAUUCUACAUUGUAGAAUAUUAGUGAAGACAUCAAAACUAUGAAAUAACUCAUAUUGAAUCAUGUAGUGACCAAAAAAAGUGUUAAACAAAUCUAAAUCUAAAUACAGUCGCAAGAAAAAGAAUGUGAACCUUUAGAAUGACCUGGAAUCUGCAUGAACUGGUCAUAACAAUGAGAUCUGAUCUUCAUCUCGGUCACAACAAUAGCUGCGCUGUGAAUGAGAGCGUACCCCUCUCUAUCUCAGGUCAUUACAGUUUAAGGUGAUGAGAGCGUACCCCUCUCUAUCUCAGGUCAUUACAGUUUAAGGUGGUGAGAGCGUACCCCUCUCUAUCUCAGGUCAUUACAGUUUAAGGUGAUGAGAGCGUACCCCUCUCUAUCUCAGGUCAUUACAGUUUAAGGUGGUGAGAGCGUACCCCUCUCUCUCUCAGGUCAUUACAGUUUAAGGUGAUGAGAGCGUACCCCUCUCUAUCUCAGGUCAUUACAGUUUAAGGUGAUGAGAGCGUACCCCUCUCUAUCUCAGGUCAUUACAGUUUAAGGUGGUGAGAGCGUACCCCUCUCUCUCUCAGGUCAUUACAGUUUAAGGUGGUGAGAGCGUACCCCUCUCUCUCUCAGGUCAUUACAGUUUAAGGUGAUGAGAGCGUACCUCUCUAUCUCUCAGGUCAUUACAGUUUAAGGUGAUGAGAGCGUACCUCUCUCUCUCAGGUCCAGUCUGUCUAUAGAUCAGUCCUGCUCUACCUGACUGCCACUGCCCACUCUUUUAGCUACAGUACCACAGAGGAAAGAUUCAUGAUACAAUACAAAUAUGCUUGUCUAACACUCUCUUUCUCCCAUCCUCUCUCUCCCAUCCUCUCUCUUUCUCCCAUCCUCUCUCUUUCCCAUCCUCUCCCUCUCACCCUUCCUCUCUCUCCCAUCCUCUCUCUCCCAUCCUCUCUCUCCCAUCCUCUCUCUUUCUCCCAUCCUCUCUCUUUCCCAUCCUCUCCCUCUCACCCUUCCUCUCUCUCUCCCAUCCUCUCUCUUUCUCCCAUCCUCUCUCUCCCAUCCUCUCUCUUUCUCCCAUCCUCUCUCUUUCCCAUCCUCUCCCUCUCACCCUUCCUCUCUCUCCCAUCCUCUCUCUCCCAUCCUCUCUCUCCCAUCCUCUCUCUUUCUCCCAUCCUCUCUCUUUCCCCCAUCCUCUCCCUCUCACCCUUCCUCUCUCUCCCAUCCUCUCUCUUUCUCCCAUCCUCUCUCUCCCAUCCUCUCUCUUUCUCCCAUCCUCUCUCUCUCACCCUCCCUCUCUCUCCCAUCCCUCUCUCCCAUCCUCUCUCUUUCUCCCAUCCUCUCUCUCCCAUCCUCUCUCUUUCUCCCAUCCUCUCUCUCCCAUCCUCUCUCUCUCUCACCCUUCCUCUCUCUCCCAUCCUCUCUCUCUCACCCAUCCUCACUCUCCCAUCCUCUCUCUCCCAUCCUCUCUCUCCCAUCCUCUC
Long non-coding RNA from Oncorhynchus keta (chum salmon), 2553 nucleotides. RefSeq lists it as uncharacterized. The transcript is spliced from 3 exons. The record is from RefSeq and is a predicted model, not a curated record. Lineage: Eukaryota; Metazoa; Chordata; Actinopteri; Salmoniformes; Salmonidae.